GUCUACAGCCCUACCAACCUGAAUGUGCCCGAUCUCGUCUGAUCUCGGAAGCUAAGCAGGGUUGGGCCUGGUUAAUACUUGGAUGGAGACGAAAGGCCCUAGGUGAGAUC
RNAcentral lists this ribosomal RNA (110 nucleotides) under Castor canadensis (American beaver). Lineage: Eukaryota; Metazoa; Chordata; Mammalia; Rodentia; Castoridae. The record is from RNAcentral.